Long non-coding RNA from Coregonus clupeaformis (lake whitefish), 453 nucleotides. RefSeq lists it as uncharacterized. NCBI's taxonomy places the organism in Eukaryota, Metazoa, Chordata, Actinopteri, Salmoniformes, Salmonidae. The transcript is spliced from 3 exons. The record is from RefSeq and is a predicted model, not a curated record.
UGAGGGGCCAGGAGCUGAUCUACAUCAAUGGGGCGCUGGCAAUGACCUCACCUCCAGCCUCACCUCUUGCCUGCUCACCACCGGUCGUUGAUGGGGAGACCAGAAUUAGAUGCAUCUAUGGAGCCAACACUUGGAGACUUGCGAGAUGAUGUGAUGGAGUCCUGACAGACAGACAGGCUUGAUACUGAUGCAGAAGAAUGGAGAGAGACCUGGCACUCAACACAUCCCCAAUGUGGGACUGAAGAUGGAGAGGACUGUAGACGCGUUUGCCAGAUGCCAGCCUCUUCGUUUGAUGGAGAGAAAAUAAUUGGGUCGUUUUUAUCUGACCUGUUCGAAUUUCAACAACAUACCUGUUUGUGUGUCAGAUAUUACCUAUCCUAACAGCGAUUGCUAUAGAACAGUGACUAUGUGUGUAUAUGUUCACAGAAACAUGUAUGGAUCCAGCACAUGGAG